GACGGAGGGUGCGAGCGUUAUUCGGAAUCAUUGGGCGUAAAGAGCGUGUAGGCGGCCGGUUAAGUCAGGUGUGAAAGCCCGGGGCUCAACCUCGGAAGUGCACUUGAAACUGGUCGGCUUGAGUUCGGGAGAGGGAAGCGGAAUUCCUGGUGUAGAGGUGAAAUUCGUAGAUAUCAGGAGGAACACCGGUGGCGAAGGCGGCUUCCUGGACCGAAACUGACGCUGAGACGCGAAAGCGUGUGGAGCAAACAGG
RNAcentral lists this ribosomal RNA (253 nucleotides) under uncultured bacterium. RNAcentral describes it as "partial 16S ribosomal RNA". It matches the Rfam family "Bacterial small subunit ribosomal RNA", at positions 524 to 776 of the family's 1533-position model. The record is from RNAcentral.